RNAcentral lists this ribosomal RNA (429 nucleotides) under Gemmatimonadota bacterium. RNAcentral describes it as "Gemmatimonadetes bacterium partial 16S ribosomal RNA". It matches the Rfam family "Bacterial small subunit ribosomal RNA", at positions 355 to 776 of the family's 1533-position model. The record is from RNAcentral. Lineage: Bacteria; Pseudomonadati; Gemmatimonadota.
UAGGGAAUCUUCGGCAAUGGACGAAAGUCUGACCGAGCAACCCCGCGUGAGUGAAGAAGGUUUUCGGAUCGUAAAACUCUGUUGUUAGAGAAGAACAAGGACGUUAGUAACUGAACGUCCCCUGACGGUAUCUAACCAGAAAGCCACGGCUAACUACGUGCCAGCAGCCGCGGUAAUACGUAGGUGGCAAGCGUUGUCCGGCUUUAUUGGGCGUAAAGCGAGCGCAGGCGGUGUCUUAAGGCUGAUGUGAAAGCCCCCGGCUCAACCGGGGAGGGUGAUUGGAAGCUGGGAGGCGUGGGUGCAGAAGAGGGGAGUGGAAUUCCAGGUGUAGGGGUGAAAUGCGUAGAGAGAUGGAGGAACACCAGUGGCGAAGGCGGCUCUCUGGUCUGUAACUGACGCUGAGGCUCGAGAGCGUGGGGAGCAAACAGG